Molecule: ribosomal RNA, 178 nt
Filed under: uncultured bacterium
Lineage: Bacteria
Description: partial 16S ribosomal RNA
Rfam family: Bacterial small subunit ribosomal RNA
Source: RNAcentral
UUGGGGAAUAUUGGACAAUGGGCGAAAGCCUGAUCCAGCCAUGCCGCGUGUGUGAAGAAGGUCUUCGGAUUGUAAAGCACUUUAAGUUGGGAGGAAGGGCAGUAAGUUAAUACCUUGCUGUUUUGACGUUACCGACAGAAUAAGCACCGGCUAACUCUGUGCCAGCAGCCGCGGUAAU